This 3495-nucleotide unclassified non-coding RNA is filed under the name Diabrotica virgifera virgifera (western corn rootworm). Its description in RNAcentral is "uncharacterized LOC126886513". Lineage: Eukaryota; Metazoa; Arthropoda; Insecta; Coleoptera; Chrysomelidae. The record is from RNAcentral.
AAUUUUAUCUUUUUCAUUUCCAUUUGUUUAACUAUUGUUUAAAAAACUGUUCAUUAGAACACUAUAAUAUUUAAUUACCCAAAACUUUGUUUUAGCAAGAAAUUAUGAAUUCAUGUACUCAAUCAAUUUCAACAAACCCUGAAGAAGCUCUCUGCCAUAUUUGCAGCAAAAUAUUUAUAACUCAGUCUUCACUAAAUCGUCAUAUCAAAAAAAUACAUAAAAUAGAUGGGCCCACUAACAAUAUAAAUCAAAAUCACAUUAUUUGUCCCUUAUGUGAGAAAGAUACUAAUUUUAAUAGUCAUGAGAAGUUACGAAAACAUCUUCAGGACCUUCACCAGGUGAGUAUUGAACUUGUAACAUUUGAAUUUUCUAGCAAACAAGAAUAUGAGACAUGGAAAGAUAUGCAGAAAAUUGAGACAAGUUAUGUAUCUCAUAGAACAAUUUGUAGAAAGGAACAUAAGAUAAUGUACUAUGAUUGUAACAGAAGUGACCUACAAGGAUAUAAACCCAACUAUAAAAUAAUGACAGAGAAAGCUGGUGGAUCAAUUAAAAUUAAAGGAGUGUGCCCUUCCAGGCUGAUUUGCAAACUGAGAGACCAAGGACAAGUUUCUGUCAGUUACUGGAAAACACAUGCUGGACAUAAAGAAGAAUUAAGAACCAUGCAUCUGUCAAAAGCAGAAGAAAAAAUGGUUGUAGAAAAAUUAAUGGCUGGGGUGCCACCCAGUAGAAUUUUAAAAGAUUCAAGAAAGUUGGAAACACCACAACUAGAUAGACUUGCUGUAAUAACAACUCAAGAUCUCACAAAUUUGUCCACAAAGUACAAUAUACACAAGAAAAGAGAUCAAAAUGAUAUGGUAGCAGCAGCCUUAAAGGUUCAGGAAUGGAAUGCUAACAACAAGAAUUAUACUUUCUUAUUUAAGAAAGAAGAUGAUGCUGCAAGGUGUUCGAGAGAAAUGUUAACUAUCAAAUCAAGGCAUGAGGAGGAAAUUAAUGAAUUUGUCAGAGGGAAGCUAGAACAGACAAAUGUGACCCAGGAAAAAACCAAACGAAGUCUUCAACAGGAAUACCUCAAUAAUGUGUUGAACGGAUUAGAUGACCAAGGUUUUGCGGAAUAUAUGAGGAAAACUCAAGGAAUUCUGGAAGAAGUUAAUAAUAAGGGAAAGAAGAUUACGAAGAAGCGAAAAAUGGAGACUUGAGAGUAUUUUCCUUAAAAAAAAAGAACUGAUUAAACAUUUUUAUUAACAAUUUUUGUAGCUCACAUGCAUUUUUGCCUUGUACCUGUAUUUAAUUUUCAUUAUAGUUUUAUAGACUUAUUUACAAGAACAUUACUUAAUUUAACAUUAUAAAUUUUACUUAAUUAGUAAUAAAUAUAGUGAAAUUUCUUAUAAGAUUAUAUAAAUACAGUGUGUCCACAGAUGGGGUGCCCAAGAGGAAAAACAUUUUUAUUUUCAAUUUUAGCGAAAAAUGUCAUUCUUUUUUAAAAGUUUUGCUUCCCCAUAAAACGAAAUAAAAUAAUUUUUCAAAACCUGCUUAAUUUUGUGUUAUAAUAAAUAAUUUUUAUGUUAUAAAUAAAUAAUAAAUAAAUAAAUUUUUGCACUAAGUUCGAAAUCUUAACAAUAAUCUAGUGUUGCUAACCUACAAUGUAGCUGAAUAACUGUCAAUUGCAAUAAAUAAUUUGCGAAUUGUCAUUCUUUUUCGAUGAGAUAAUGUUAACCAUCCAACAGAGAAUUUAUAGAUAUUGUAAAGUGUUAUGGAAUUGGAGCUGUUUUGUACCGACAUGCGAUUGAAAUGUUCAAUGAAAAAUAUCGAGAUGUACUUGUUACACGGAAUGGAUUGAAGAAACUGAUAAAGAAAUUCAAUGAGACGGCAUCUGUUGGAAACAGAAAAAGAUCGAAAAUAACAUACAAUGAGGAUGAUGACACAGCUACUGCCCUAGCUAUGUAGUCAGCAAGGGAAAUUCCAAAAAGUUUGCGAAAAGAGUCACAAAGAGUAACAAAAGUCACAGAAAAUAUUCGAGCAAAACAACAUUCAUUCCUUUAAACCAAAAUUUAUUCACACCUUACAAUAUUGUGAUUAUGACAUGAGGCUUGACUUUUGUGCAAUCAUUGAUGAAAAACUUAUACCACUACCUGCUUCUUUCACUAAAAUAUUCUAUUUUGCACGUUAUAUUGAAGUCUUUGUUGAACUCUUAACAUUGUCGAAAAAAAUGACAAUUCACAAAUUAUUUACUGGAGUUGACAGUUACUAUGCUACAUAGUAGCUUAGCAACACUAGAUUAUUGUUACGAUUUUGAACUUAGUGCCAAAAUUUAUAGGGAUUUAUAUAAAAUUGCCUACAAAAUUAAGCAGGUUUUGAAUUUUAUUUCGUUUUAUGGGGGUUUAGAACAAGCAAAACUUUUUAUCAAGAAUGAUAUUUUUGCUAAAGGGAGCGUUCAAGUAUUACGUAACGCGAUUUUUGAAGAUUUUUAACCCCCCCCUCCCCCUACGUAACACAAUCUUAUGAGAGUUUAACUAUUGCGUAACGCAAUUUUUGAAGAUUUUUGGAAAUAAAAUCUUUGAUAAAUUGAAAAUAAAAGUUUGUUAUCUUGGGCACCCCAUCUGUGGACACACUGUAUGUAUGUUACUUAGGUUAGAUCUGAAUUUUAAAUAGGCCGUUCCAAGAUGCUGUCAAAAUUAAAUCAAUAUGGCUACCGGAAGGCAAACAUUGAAUAUUAUUCUAUCAGGUUCUUAUGGUUUUAGAUCAUUUUAGUUGUUGUACAAAGAUUAAUUUAACAUUUUCUCUGGAAGUAUUAAUUUAGAAAGAUAAUAUGCCUCAUUGGUGUUGUGUUUUGAAGUGUGAAAUGCAAAGUAAUCGUGAUAAAGUUAGCUUUUACCACUUACCAUCAGUGCUACAUUCUAAGCACAAAACUGAACCAAUUUAACUAAAUAAGUUAUAGUUAUCAUCUGAGAGACAACAACAAUGGUAAAAUGCAAUAAAAUAUAAAGAUUUUACUAGCAAAAUGGAAAUUCCCCUGUAAUCAUCUUAUAUCUGGUAAGUUACAACAUUUGAACAUUAACGAUUUUUGAAGAUGUUAACAGUCUAAUCUUGUAGGAAAACCAGCCGACUUAACUGAUAAUAUCAAUCCAGAUUGGGUUCCUUCAAUAAAUAUGGGGUAUAUAAACACAAUGAAAUGAGUUCCCCAAAAUCUAAAAUGGGAAUUAAGGUACCAAAGGAGAAUUAAAAGAAAAGGGUACCUACAAGAAAAAAUUGCUUUUUUAUUCCUCUUGAAAUGAUUUAUAAGACACUGGACUGUCUUAUAUUCUACAAAUACUAGAAUCAGCUGAGAGAAGUGGUCUACAAAAACCCAGGAAGGAAACGGAAUAUGUGGCUACGAAAGGCAAAAGAAAGGUUUACAAAGCAAAUGUGACACAUUUUUUUGAAAUAUUUAGGAAUAUCAGUAAAUUGCAUUAAAAAAAUGUAUGAAAAGAUUUUGUUCAAUAAAAAUGUUUAUAUUUA